Molecule: ribosomal RNA, 468 nt
Filed under: uncultured bacterium
Lineage: Bacteria
Description: partial 16S ribosomal RNA
Rfam family: Bacterial small subunit ribosomal RNA
Source: RNAcentral
GACGAACGCUGGCGGCGUGCCUAACACAUGCCAGUCGAACGGAAAGGCCCUGCUUUCGUGGGGUGCUCGAGUGGCGAACGGGUGAGUAACACGUGAGUAACCUGCCCUUGACUUUGGGAUAACUUCAGGAAACUGGGGCUAAUACCGGAUAGGAGCUCCUGCUGCAUGGUGGGGGUUGGAAAGUUUCGGCGGUUGGGGAUGGACUCGCGGGUUAUCAGCUUGUUGGUGGGGUAGUGGCUUACCAAGGCUUUGACGGGUAGCCGGCCUGAGAGGGGGAACGGCGACAUUGGGACUGAGGGACGGACCAGAGUGCAACGGUGGGCAACGGGGGGAAAUAUGACACAGUGGGCGGGAGCCUGUUGAGAAGGCGCCGCGUGUGGAAAGACGGUUUUCUGGGUGUAAACCGCUGUAAGCUGAGACGAAGCGGGAGUGACGGUAAUGGGUAAAGAAGCACCGGCUAACUACGUG